CCUCCACCGCCCCAUUACUCCACCCACAUGUUGUGUGCCCGAAUUCAUCCUAGUGGAGGCAAGAUCCAUCAACAGGACUAACCCUGGUUACAACUAUUGCCAUCCAAGAGAUAGAUGAUGGUGUCAGUCCUCAUCACUCCCCGUGAAGACUAUCACCUUCUUCUCUUUCUCCGGGGGGUUGUGUAUGUGACAAGAGAGGCAGCUACAUCUGAAAGCUGUUAGCACUUAGCACUACAUGCUCUGCAAGGUGGUAUAUCCUUCAAGUAUUUAGAACCUGACUCAACUUAUGAAUGGAAACCUGACAAGGCUUAGGUGAGGUUCAAAUGAUUAAGUGCAGAAAUUUGAAAAAAAAAGGUGAAUGAUAGAGAGACAGAUUUGAGCUAUUGGGACCACAUACCUUGUCUACGAAAGGUACCCUUUCGUAAGGGGAGUCAGGUUCAAAAUACUUGAAGACCAACUCCCCCUUGCUUUCAACUCCGACCUUGGACAUGUUUGGUGGUGUCUGAUAUCCAUGACUCCAAUCUAUUGCACCAUGCUGGUUGUACGCAUUGAACCUUGUAUCAUAUACCAUGCUGCAAUCAUCAUGCCAAUCGUGAAUUUCAGAAACAAUCAUUUCCAUGGCUGAAAGAUACGGCACAAAGUAUUGCUCUAUUGUAUCACCCGGAGCAAUACGCACUGAAGUACCAACACCACAGGCGCUCCAUUUAUAGAACGAAUUCCAAAGAUCUCCAAGGGAAGGCAGUGCGGGUUCAAACAUAUAUGGAGCUGCAUAAUCAAAUCGAGAAGAGGGACAAAAUGAUGAUUACUUGCUGUCACCUAGGUUCGUAUUGAACAAAUGCAUAUCUUGUGAAUCAAUUAGCACAUAUCUUGUAUCAAGGGGAUGCACCAUAUAUAAAGUGAAGAUGCAACAGUAAGAACGAAAUGGACAGUGAUGUGCAUGUCACGUGAGGUCCUUCUGUUUGGAUCUAUUGAUAGUGCAGUCUAACCAAAUUUUACUGUUGAUAUGGGGACAAAGGGGGUUAAUUCUAGAUGAAAAAAUUCAAUUCUUUAAAUGCGUAAAAAGAAUUUUCGCAGAUUGACUUUAAGGUAAAACCAAAAAACUCGACCGAAUGAGUAUGACAGCCCCACCAUAAGAUAAAACCUUCAUCAUAACCCUCCUGAUUCAAAUGAUUGCGCAAGUAACGGUCGGAUGACGUCCUCAUAAAGGUGCAAUGGAUACUACCCGGAACUUAUGUUUCGCGCCUAAAGCAUUUUGAAUCUGAACUUUAUAUACAGAUCGGAGGCACCAACAAACCCACAAGUUAAUAUACAUAAAAGCAAGAUGGAGUGUGAACAGAGCAUGAUCUUGAAGUGGGAAGCAUGCACCCCUUGCAAAUCGAUAAGCUCACAUAUUUAGUUUUAUCCUCAUAGCCCUUGCAAAUCAGAUGCAAGAUCAAACAAAAGAGGCAAUAUAUCCAGAUCAAAGAUAGUAGAGAGAAAGGGAGUAGAAAAUUUGACAAAAAAAAUCAUGAGUUCCUGACAGAAGGAGGGGAAUCCAACAACAAAAAUAAAAGUUAGCUCAAGAUAUGCUUACCUGUGGAAGAUAGUAGGGUGCCAUAAGAACUCUAUGUGCCUUAACAAUUGGAGUCACACUGUCAAGAAAGCACCUCAGAUUGGAAUGUGUCCCCACUAUAUCAUCGAAAGUAGCACUAGCUUCCUCUUGAAUGCUACCACUAGAACUCGCCAUCUCUCCACUCAACCCCAAAAUCCUCUGCGCUAAAGUACACCUUGGUCCUACUUAUGUAUCUCAGGCCUUGAGAGAGCACUCAGACAAAUCAGCCAAAGCCUAUGUCGGGAGCGCUUAGCUACGUGGAAUGGAGGUGUGUGCUCAGGUUUUUGCAGUGGAGGAGGAGCCUAGGCCUAGGCAUAUUUGCAUAUCUGCCAUCAAUGCUUUCUAAACAAUUAUUCUAUCUCCAGCCUCCACCCCUCCAAGGAUAUGCUAGCUCUUAAUUACCUGCCAACUUGAUAGCCUUUGCCUAUUAAUUUUUCUUGGUUUGUCCAUGUUAGUUUGGGAUACUGCUGAAGUGGCCUUUUUAGACUUUUCUUCCAAAAUUAGUUUUGGCUUUUCGUCAUUAUGCUGCGAGGAAGCGUGAUGACCAAUGUGACCUUACAGACAUGAUGACCUCCAUUUUGGAAGAAGAAUAAAUAUAUCCACUUGGAGAGAGAGAGAGAGAGAG
Long non-coding RNA from Panicum virgatum (switchgrass), 2216 nucleotides. RefSeq lists it as uncharacterized. The transcript is spliced from 4 exons. The record is from RefSeq and is a predicted model, not a curated record. Lineage: Eukaryota; Viridiplantae; Streptophyta; Magnoliopsida; Poales; Poaceae.